This 500-nucleotide ribosomal RNA is filed under the name uncultured bacterium. RNAcentral's name for it is "partial 16S ribosomal RNA". It matches the Rfam family "Bacterial small subunit ribosomal RNA", at positions 29 to 523 of the family's 1533-position model. The record is from RNAcentral.
AUUGAACGCUGGCGGCAUGCCUUACACAUGCAAGUCGAACGGCAGCGCGGACUUCGGUCUGGCGGCGAGUGGCGAACGGGUGAGUAAUACAUCGGAACGUACCCUGUUGUGGGGGAUAACUAGUCGAAAGAUUAGCUAAUACCGCAUACGACCUGAGGGUGAAAGUGGGGGACCGCAAGGCCUCACGCAGCAGGAGCGGCCGAUGUCUGAUUAGCUAGUUGGUGGGGCAAAGGCCCACCAAGGCGACGAUCAGUAGCUGGUCUGAGAGGACGAUCAGCCACACUGGGACUGAGACACGGCCCAGACUCCUACGGGAGGCAGCAGUGGGGAAUUUUGGACAAUGGGGGCAACCCUGAUCCAGCAAUGCCGCGUGUGUGAAGAAGGCCUUCGGGUUGUAAAGCACUUUUGUCCGGAAAGAAAUCGCGCUGGUUAAUACCUGGCGUGGAUGACGGUACCGGAAGAAUAAGGACCGGCUAACUACGUGCCAGCAGCCGCCGUAA